UGUAAAAAAUUUCCGUAAUUUUACAGCAAAAACCUACGUAAAAUUUACGUAGACCGUUCUGUUUUAUGAAAAACGGCGGGAUUCUACGUAAAAAAGACGGACGUGAGCUCCGUUUAUGAAAAACGGCGGGAUUCUACGUAAAAAAGACGGACGUGAGCUCCGUUUUUGAAAUACGGAGAGCCGUCCGUAAUUUCAUGAGGAGGGCAACUGAACAUGUUUCUAGUGAAAAAUGAACACGCAAAGAAUAUAACGAAAAGACACUGUCUACUCUCACUGCCAGUUACAUAUAUCACCAUAGAUAACGCUGUUUGAACAUUAUUCGCGUGCGAGCAUAGUAAACACACAAAAAGAAGCAGGUAGGGUUUGAGCGGUGGCGCUGCUUACCACCCCUUCAUCGCGCCUACACGCUGGGUUGGAUUCCUCCAGCACAAACAACUGUACGAGUACUCGCUAAUGGCGGACGGUGGAGGUGGUGUUCCUGUCGCAUUUGUGAUUUCACACCAAAUAGGAAGCAAUCGGCGCUGGAUUGUUACACAACUGUUGCACCAGUGAAGGAUGUCUGUGUGCCGCCUUGCAUUCAGUUUCUCAGUCAUGGGGGCCUGCUUGCAACACCAGUGGCAAAGCAGUCUUGCAUUGUGCUAUUUGUUCUGAAAGGACACAAGCAUUGAGGAGCCAUUUGACCUGCCACUACACUGAUACGGUAUUUGGCAAAGGCAGGAGGCAUCUGCAAGCAACCAGUCAUUCCGAUUCUCAACCAAUCCUUCUAGUCAGCCCAUUUCUAGUGUCUUAUCUUGCAAGUUUUUUUCAGUAAAGCACAAUAAACACGCAGUUUCGUUCA
Dermacentor silvarum is the source of this 838-nucleotide long non-coding RNA. RefSeq lists it as uncharacterized. The transcript is spliced from 4 exons. The record is from RefSeq and is a predicted model, not a curated record. Lineage: Eukaryota; Metazoa; Arthropoda; Arachnida; Ixodida; Ixodidae.